UACGUAGGUGGCAAGCGUUGUCCGGAUUUACUGGGCGUAAAGAGCGCGCAGGCGGUCGUUCAAGUCGCGUGUGAAAGCCCCCGGCUCAACUGGGGAGGGUCACGCGAUACUGAUCGACUCGAAGGCAGGAGAGGGAAGCGGAAUUCCCGGUGUAGUGGUGAAAUGCGUAGAUAUCGGGAGGAACACCAGUAGCGAAGGCGGCACUCUGGGCCGGUACUGACGCUGAGGAGCGAAAGCGUGGGGAGCGAACAGG
Molecule: ribosomal RNA, 253 nt
Filed under: uncultured prokaryote
Description: partial 16S ribosomal RNA
Rfam family: Bacterial small subunit ribosomal RNA
Source: RNAcentral